Molecule: long non-coding RNA, 2907 nt
Organism: Acinonyx jubatus (cheetah)
Lineage: Eukaryota; Metazoa; Chordata; Mammalia; Carnivora; Felidae
Exons: 3
Source: RefSeq, a predicted model, not a curated record
UGAGUCUCAAAGAAUCAUGAAAGAUGGAAACUCACGGCAGCGUGGUUUUGCUGACAGACCAAGGUUAACAUAGACCCCAGAGGAAUCUCUCCCAUCGGACCAGAGUCCCGCAGAACAAUAUUUCUUUGCAAAAAUUUCAUCCUCUGGCAAGACCCAAGACAUUUUGUGUGACCUUAAUAGGAAUUUAAGCUUGCUUUAGCCCACAUCAUUUGUAAUCGUCAGAACGACACGAAUGUGGACAUAUUGAGAUGCAUGGCCCCACUGUGCAUGAAGUCUGAAGGUCGUCAGAAGAGAGGAGGAGUCGAGGACAUCAGGGACACUCCUGUACCUGAAGAGGAUUCUGAUAGAGAUCAAGCAUCAGGUGAGGAGGCGUGGCAUCAUUACAGCCUGAGAAAGGAAUUGGAAACAGUGGCCUGGAGAAAGAGAGGAUAAUGAAUAGGUUGCAGUUCUAAAGAGGCAUCAGAAUGCCAGGCCUGCCGUCUUCAACCCCGUGGUACACCCCAAAAUAAAAGAAAAUGCAUUCUUGGUCUCCCUCCUCCAUUCAUCUGUAUGGCCCUGGACCCUCUCCCUUGGCCUCCACUUGCACUUACAUUCUUGACCUCCUGCUGCAUUGCCCUGACCUUUUGCUUUGCCUCUUAUUUUCUUUAGCCUGCUCUCACCCUUAAGAUCUGAUGACUGAUUUAGCUUCCCUGGCGCCCGGCCACUGUUCCCCUUGGCCGCACUACUUGCCUUCACCCUCAGCUGUUGCAACUCUUGGCCACCCUGAGGAAAGGCCCUGCCAAGCCCCCCUCCCUGACUCGUCCACGUCCACGUGGAGGAGAAGGGUUUCCUGGGGGAGCUCACAUCAAGAGGAUGAAAUCUGGGUGCAGGGGAAGGUGAGCUUUGAGGCUGGCGGGGAGGUGGGGAGGGAGCCAGAGGAAUUUCCCCAGGAGGGUGACUUCAGCCUUCUCUUCAGUCUGAUUCUGUACCAUUCUGGCGUGUUUUGUUUUGUUUUGGUUUGGUUUGGUUUUUACCACGAGGAUGUAUUAUGGAAAAAGCACAACUUUUGUUUUUAAAACAAAAACUGAUAAAUGAGGGGGAAGGAAGUGUGUUCAUUCAUUCAUUCACUCAUGCAUUCAUUCAACAGAUACCUUUUGAGCCCCAGGCGGACCAUGUGCUGGCCACACUGGUGAACAGGCUCCAUCCCUGAUCUCAGGAUGCUUGCCACUGGGCAGGGGAGAUGUGCAGACAUUAAGCAAAUAAUUACUCACCUAUUUACGUCAGUGCAAAAGUUGGGACUCUGGGAGGGUUGGGCCCUGAGUGCUACUGCUUUCACUGAAGGGUAGGAGCCAAGGUCAUUUGCUCAGAAAGGAGACGGAGCUGGGUAGGGGGCUGGAAAGCCUGCUGAAGAUUAGGAAGAAGUGUUGCAGGAAAGGGGUGGGGGGGAACGUGUUAACAAGAGCAGAACUGUGCAUACUUUUUGCUUUGAAGGUUUCCAGAUUCAAGUGCCAGAACUUGAUUUUAAGCUGGCCAUGUGUGUCACAUACUUGCUUUCAAAAAGCAAAUCCCUUUUCUUUAGACUCUGUUAGUCAUCGUUCUCUUUUUAACAUGGCCAGCAACGAUCUCCUUUUGCAGAAAUAUCUUCUCUUCACAGUGACCGUACUAAUAGCCAAUCCGGGUCUGCAGGACCGCUAAGUGACAGGAUAGAUUUUUAGAUUAAAAACAACACAACUGUGUCCUCAUUAGAUUCUCGAGAGUCCUUCAUCUCUCCCCACUGGGCUUUGGCAAACUCGGAACCGUUGGCUUCCCAGGGCAUUGGCACCUGCUUAAGCCUCAAAAGUAUAUUACCAAUAAAUUGACUCCAGCUUUACCUAGCAUAUUUAAACAAUAACAGCUUAAUUAUAUUCUUGCAAAUUAUAGGGCCCCACAACAUAUUUUUCAUCUAUUGUGCACCUUUCUUCGUAUCAUUCACUAUUUUAUAAGAAUAUAUUUUCCGAAUAUUAAAGAAGAGAGUUAGCAAUAAAACCGGCAUCUCCUAGGUUUUUCUCUUGCUGGAAGCAGUGCUUUAUUUAAUUUACCCACAGGCUUUAUCUUCUAUGUAGUGAUUUCCAAAUGUAUUUCGAAUUUGCUAGUGAGUGGUGUACAAAAAUCAGGGUGUCUUCAGAUAUUAAGGGAUAACAAAACAGAGUAUGACAAAGAGAAGUAUCUCACUAAUAGUUUCUAGAUAACUGGUUCAUUUGUUUUGUAUGUACCUUGCCUGCCUCCCUCCAUUCAUUUUUUUGUGCUGCCCCGGAUAGAUAUCUCCUGUAAAAACAAUCUAUUAUGAGCUGUAAGGAGGGAGACAAGGAGAGACAAGAUAUGUCACUGAAUUUUAAAAAAUAUCUGUAUGUGUUUCACCUAAUAGGCAAAUAAUACAUGUUUAUUACAUUGAAUUGAAUUGAACCAGGAUCAAGGCAUGUGGCUUACAGCUGAAAUUCGGUUGCUUAUGGUAUCCGGUCGGAUCAAUAGUACUCGGGGAGGAAAGAGAAAGGAAGGAGGCACAAUAUGAAACAAAGUGAGAAAACAAAAGCAAAGUGAAGAGCAAACAAUUACAAAGAUGGAUAUUAGUACAUAUCUACAUUAGGUAUACUGUUACAUACGUUUAUAUGUAUAUAUGCUCCUACACCUAUGUGUAUAUGUGUAGCAGUCUCCACAUGUGUGUGCAGCAAUAAUAACAUUACAGGGUCAAAUGUUAAUAAGUAAGAAAUUGGGGGGUGCCUGGAUGGCUUAGUCUGUUAAGCCUCCAACUUCGGCUGAGGUCAUGAUCUCAUGGCUCAAGUCAUGAUCUCACAGUACGUGGGUUCAAGCUCCGCCUUGGGCUCUGUGCUGACAGCUCAGAGCCUGGAGCCUGCUUCAGAUUCUGUCUCCUUCUCUCUGCCUCUCCCCUGC